CUCCAUCCUGCCACCAUGUGAAGAAGGUGCUUGCUUCUCCUUUGCCUUCUGCCAUGGUUGUAAGUUUCCUGAGGCCUCCCCAGCCAUGUGAACUGCUCAUAGGUGGAAGGGACUUACCUUGUAUCGGAAGAGACUUUGGACUUGGACUUUUGGAUUAAUGCCGGAAUGACCUAAGACUUUGGGGGACUGUUGGAGGGGCAUGAUUGUGUUUUGAAAUGUGAGGACAUGAGAUUUGGCAGGGGCCAAGGUCAAAUUGAUAUGGUUUGGCUCUGUUUCCCCACCCAAAUCUCACCUGGAAUUGUAAUAAUCUCCACAUGUCAUGGGAGGUACUCAGUGGGAGAUAAUUAAAUCACAGAGGCAGUUACCCCUAUGCUGUUCCUGUGAUAGUAAAUGAGUUCUCAUGAGAUCUGAUGGUUUAUAAGGAACAUUUCCCUCUUUGCUAGCACUUCUCUCUCCUGCUGCCAUGUGAAGAAGGACAUGUUUGCUUCCCCUUCUGCCAUGGUUGUAAGUUUCCUGAGGCCUCCCUAGCCAUGCUGAACUAUGAGUCAAUUAAACCUCUUUCCUUUAUAAAUUA
Long non-coding RNA from Pongo pygmaeus (Bornean orangutan), 574 nucleotides. RefSeq lists it as uncharacterized. The transcript is spliced from 2 exons. The record is from RefSeq and is a predicted model, not a curated record. Lineage: Eukaryota; Metazoa; Chordata; Mammalia; Primates; Hominidae.